RNAcentral lists this ribosomal RNA (324 nucleotides) under Triticum aestivum (bread wheat). Its description in RNAcentral is "partial small subunit ribosomal RNA". The record is from RNAcentral. Lineage: Eukaryota; Viridiplantae; Streptophyta; Magnoliopsida; Poales; Poaceae.
AUGGAAAUCAAAGACUUUCACCCUAUAAGCCUAGUCCAUAGCUUUUCCAAGCUUAUCACCAAAAUGCUAGCCAAUAGGCUGGCUAGGAAGCUCAAGGAUUUGGUGUCUCCCAAUCAAAGUGCUUAUGUCAAAGGAAUGUGCAUUCAUGAAAAAUUUGGUGUCCAACAAAUAGCCAAAUUGCUCCAUUGGCAAAAAGAGCAGAGAGUUCUCCUCAAGUUGGAUAUCUCAAAGGCCUUUGAUUCCAUUUCAUGGCCUUUCUUGUUGCAGGUACUAAGAUACUUGGGAUUUGGCCUUGUUUGGAGCAUCAUUCUGUUCAAACUUUAA